RNAcentral lists this ribosomal RNA (492 nucleotides) under uncultured bacterium. Its description in RNAcentral is "bacterial SSU rRNA". It matches the Rfam family "Bacterial small subunit ribosomal RNA", at positions 30 to 511 of the family's 1533-position model. The record is from RNAcentral.
AUUGAACGCUGGCGGUAUGCUUAACACAUGCAAGUCGAACGGUAGCAGGUCUAGCUUGCUAGAUGCUGACGAGUGGCGGACGGGUGAGUAACGCGUAGGAAUCUGCCUUAUUGUGGGGGAUAACCUGGGGAAACUCAGGCUAAUACCGCAUGAGCCCUAAGGGGGAAAGGAUGGGACCGCAAGGCCAUUCGCGAUAAGAUGAGCCUGCGUCGGAUUAGCUUGUUGGUGGGGUAAAGGCCUACCAAGGCGAGGAUCCGUAGCUGGUCUGAGAGGACGACCAGCCACACUGGGACUGAGACACGGCCCAGACUCCUACGGGAGGCAGCAGUGGGGAAUAUUGGACAAUGGGGGCAACCCUGAUCCAGCAAUACCGCGUGUGUGAAGAAGGCCUGCGGGUUGUAAAGCACUUUCAGUGGGGAGGAAGAGCUUAUUGUUAAUAGCAAUGAGUUGAGACGUUACCCACAGAAGAAGCACCGGCUAACUCUGUGCCAG